Molecule: unclassified non-coding RNA, 279 nt
Filed under: fungal sp.
Lineage: Eukaryota; Fungi
Description: partial internal transcribed spacer region
Rfam family: Eukaryotic small subunit ribosomal RNA (bases 1-46)
Source: RNAcentral
AAGUCGUAACAAGGUUUCCGUAGGUGAACCUGCGGAAGGAUCAUUAAAAAGUUUGAGUGUUCACGCAUUCUAAUUUCCACCCUGUGUAUCUGUUACCGUAAGCUUUCGCUGGGCUGUGGAGCCGAGUCUUUGCGCUCGCCUCCCCUCCUGACCGGGCAACAAGCCCCCUCGGGAGAGUCCUGGCGGGAGCCAACCAAACAAACCCUUUUUCGUUACAUACAGUCUGAGAAUGAUCUAAAAAAUCAAUUAAAACUUUCAACAAUGGAUCUCUUGGUUCUC